Macaca mulatta (Rhesus monkey) is the source of this 999-nucleotide RNA transcript. It is a transcript of the gene named ataxin-3-like, with no coding region annotated. The record is from RefSeq and is a predicted model, not a curated record. Lineage: Eukaryota; Metazoa; Chordata; Mammalia; Primates; Cercopithecidae.
CCUUUACCUUCCUCUGAUAACUGGCGAAAGGUUCUGAAGCCCCCAGGCCAUCUGGAGUCCUUGCAAACAAGCAUACCUACAGCCAAAGAAUUCUGUGAUGAUCAGAAGACUGACCACAGCAUCCCUGCAGUACGGAGCCAGGUAAACAUCCUCCUGCUGGAGGCAACCUGCCUGGGCGCUGGGAUCAGUCGCAGAUGCAGCACACAAUGGGCCACCCACCCUGGCAUCUUUCCUGUGGUGUCCGUUCCCUGGCAUCUUCCUGGUCAUCGACAGGUCCUGGAAUAAGCUGCAUCUGAAAUCAACAGACCUUCAUCUCCGUAGCUGUGGCUUAUUGGACCAUUCCCUGAUUCACCAGCUGAACGAGAGUCAUGCUCUCUUCUGAGGCUCCAUCAUACCUGGAAUAGACAUCUCUUGGUAGGACCAUGCUUCCUAUGUUCUCAGUUGAUAUGGCUCAGGUCGAGCUGUCCCCUUCCACAAGUCGCAGGGGUGGGUCCAGGACUCAGUCCUAGAUAAUCAAAGCACGAUUUUCCCCUGGCUACUGUGCUUUGUUCAAGAGCAGGCACAUGAUUCAGGUUGGUCUAAGACAAGUUCUGGAAUUUUGGCUAAAAUCAUUGAAAAAGUGUUGCUCUUUGAGUUGGAGUUGCUAAGCUGGCAGGAUAUAAGCCUAAAGUUCUUGGUGGCCAUCAUGCCAGCAGGGAAUUAAGUUGACUCAGAAAAAACCAGAGGGAAAUGAUGGAGGGAUUUCUGAUAACAUCAUUUGGACACCCUGAUCAAGCCAUACCUGAAACCUCAACUAGAUUUAGGAACCAAUAACCUCCCUUUAUUGCUUAAGCCAAUUGGAGCAGGCACACCUAACACUUUUGACCAAGAGUCUAGGAUAAUCUAGCAUCUCUAUGUCCCUUCAUAAUGUGGCUUCUCAUUUUGUAUCUGAUGUUGCAAUAUUCCUGAGCACAUUUAAUGCAUCCUCCUUGGCUCCGAGAAUUUUUUUUUUUUUUUUUU